Molecule: small RNA, 261 nt
Filed under: Erinaceus europaeus (western European hedgehog)
Lineage: Eukaryota; Metazoa; Chordata; Mammalia; Eulipotyphla; Erinaceidae
Description: 7SK RNA (ENSEEUG00000020208.1)
Rfam family: 7SK RNA (bases 1-196)
About the family: 7SK was discovered as an abundant small nuclear RNA in the mid-70s but a possible function has only recently been suggested.
Source: RNAcentral
GGAUGUGAGGGUGAUCUGGCUGCGACAUCUGUCACCCCACUGAUCACCAGGCUUGAUUUGGCUGAUCUGGUUGGCUAGGCAGGUUCCCCUUCCUCCCUCACUGCACCUUGUGCACCUCUCCCAAAGCUGAGGAAUUCAGGUGCUGUUUUGCUUAUCUAAGAGAGGGGAGGAAAGAGGAGGAAAAGCUAAGGGAUGAUUUUACUCUUAAGUGUAAUAUGGAGAAUUGAAACACAUGAGCUUGAUGGUAUAUUGCACCAAAGU